GACCUCAUUGAACAAGAAAAGAAACUGCUAUGGCUCGUUCAAGCUUAGUGUUCUUGAUGUUAAUGGCGGUGCUUGCGGUGUCCUCCGUGGCACAGUCACCAACAUCCUCCCCUGUAUCUUCUCCGACAAAAUCUCCGGUAGCUACUCAAACACCUGCUUCUACCGUUAAGCCACCUGUAUCUGCGCCUUCUCCAUUGAAGACUCCAAAGGCAAAUGCACCAUCGCCGGCUACUGUUGACUCGCCUCCAUCUCCUCCUCCUUCUCUGUCUUCCCCGGCUCCUGCUACAAUUGCUUUCCCUCCUUCCUCAAUUUCUGGCACACCAUCUGAAGCCCCUGCUCCUGCUGAAAACGGUGUGGGAUUAAAUAGAUUUGCUAUUGCUGGGUCUCUAGCUGCCGGUGCUUUCGCUGCCGUUUUGGUGUUAUAGAGUGAAUAUAUUAUAUAUGUUUCUCUGAAUAUAUAAUAUAUUAUAUAUGUUUCCCUGAAAUGUGUUUCAUUUUAAUUAUUUACAUUUUUUUAGCAAUUCUUUGUAUUAUUUUAUCUGAAAAAAAAAUUAAACUUUUGUAUUAUUUUUUUAGUUUUUCCCAUUAGCAAAUUAUUUAAUUUUCAAAAAUAGUUGGAAUUUGAAAUUCUUUAUUUUUUAAAUAUGAGUUUUUUUUUAAUAUUAUGAAAAAAUUAAUGCAUA
RNAcentral lists this unclassified non-coding RNA (683 nucleotides) under Hevea brasiliensis (rubber tree). The record is from RNAcentral. Lineage: Eukaryota; Viridiplantae; Streptophyta; Magnoliopsida; Malpighiales; Euphorbiaceae.